This 200-nucleotide ribosomal RNA is filed under the name Corchorus olitorius. RNAcentral's name for it is "partial 18S ribosomal RNA". The stretch from base 1 to 162 matches the Rfam family "Eukaryotic small subunit ribosomal RNA", at positions 819 to 980 of the family's 1831-position model. The record is from RNAcentral. Lineage: Eukaryota; Viridiplantae; Streptophyta; Magnoliopsida; Malvales; Malvaceae.
AUCAUAGGAUUUCGGUCCUAUUGUGUUGGCCUUCGGGAUCGGAGUAAUGAUUAACAGGGACAGUCGGGGGCAUUCGUAUUUCAAAGUCAGAGGUGAAAUUCUUGGAUUUAUGAAAGACGACCAAAAAAGGAAGCAUUUGCCAAGGAUGUUUUCAUUAAUCAAAAAAAAAAAAAGAGCGGCCGCAAAGCUAUUGGAGGGUC